This is a long non-coding RNA of Passer montanus (Eurasian tree sparrow), 1124 nucleotides long. RefSeq lists it as uncharacterized. The record is from RefSeq and is a predicted model, not a curated record. The transcript is spliced from 4 exons. Lineage: Eukaryota; Metazoa; Chordata; Aves; Passeriformes; Passeridae.
GUUUGGCACCUCAUACCUCCACUGAGCAGGCCAAGGCACACACAAGCAUUGCACUCAUCUGACUGAAAUCACAAAACACGCCUGCUUGAUUUGCCUCAGAUAUGAGCAGAGAUUAUUCUCCUUCACUGCCCAAGACUUGCUAGAUGGGAUUUCGAAUUCAGCUGACAACAAUAGACUAACUUUCCAGAUUAUUUGAUAGUGCCUAGGCACAAAGCAGCUGGAAAAGUGAAGAUCUCCUAGAUUUGAAGUUGGUGAUACUCACAGUUGUUUGAGAUAAAAUGCAACAUAAGGCAGACAAACAGUGAUGAGGAGCCAAAUUUUUUGGAACACUUUGCGUUGCUGAAGCAGAGAACAGACAAUGCUAUGGAGUUUGCACAUCUGUCUGCAAAUCUAAUUUCACACCUUAAGAUCAAGCUGUACCUCAACAUUUUACGUCCAUAUAUAUAUAUAUAUAUGUUUAUGUAUUUAUUAUUACUCUUUUGAUUUCCAAACUGAUAAUCUCCCUGGAAUGUUAAUUGAUGACAUUCUUGUUACCCUGCAUUCUUGCAGCCCUAAGACGAUCUAAAAAUUUAAUUGUCUCUGCACUGCUCUCAUGUAUAACCGCCACAGAAUAGAAGAGAUAUGACUGUGCUUUCUAAGCCCUAUAGCAAAAAUAUCAGAACUUAGAAUAAUCACAAGCAGAAAGUUAAUAAUUUCUGUUCUUGUGCACAGCUUGAAACCUGGCUGCUUUUCUGGAGCAGGUAAAUAGCUAUAAAAGAAUCAAGAAAAAAGCAUCAUUUUUCAAGGACUCAGGUUAAAGUGGGGUCUUUUGCAUUAAAAUAAUAAUUUUCAUAUUAUGCAUCUAACAUUUCUUUGGCACAGUGCCAGUGCAUAAUGUCUCCCUUGAAAAGGCCAUCAGUCUGAAUAUCUAUUAGAAAUUUCUUUCCUGAAUUAUUUACACAACUGAACAAUUUGUUUUCUUUUGUUUAGAUGGGUACCUUGAGUACAUGGGUGCAUUUUCAGUGUUUAUAAAUGUAGUUCAGGGCUGGCACAACUGAGUUUUCCACAACUAAUUACUUCAUGGUGCAGUAAGAAACAUGUGGUUUAUUUAAUGAAUGUACUCUGUAAAUUAAUUCCAAAAUUGA